AGAUUAAACUGAAGAGUUUGAUCAUGGCUCAGAUUGAACGCUGGCGGCAGGCUUAACACAUGCAAGUCGAGCGGUAACAGAUCUAGCUUGCUAGAUGCUGACGAGCGGCGGACGGGUGAGUAACGC
RNAcentral lists this ribosomal RNA (126 nucleotides) under Oleiphilus sp. HI0073. RNAcentral's name for it is "partial 16S ribosomal RNA". It matches the Rfam family "Bacterial small subunit ribosomal RNA", at positions 1 to 116 of the family's 1533-position model. The record is from RNAcentral. Lineage: Bacteria; Pseudomonadati; Pseudomonadota; Gammaproteobacteria; Oceanospirillales; Oleiphilaceae.